RNAcentral lists this ribosomal RNA (253 nucleotides) under uncultured bacterium. RNAcentral describes it as "partial 16S ribosomal RNA". It matches the Rfam family "Bacterial small subunit ribosomal RNA", at positions 524 to 776 of the family's 1533-position model. The record is from RNAcentral.
CACGUACCGGUCGAACGCUUUUCGGAAUUACUGGGCUUAAAGAGUACGUAGGCGGCCUUGUUGGUGAGGUGUGAAAUCCCACGGCUUAACCGUGGAAUGGCGCAUCAAACCACAAGGCUUGAGGGAGACAGGGGUGAGCGGAACAGAUGGUGGAGCGGUGAAAUGCGUUGAUAUCAUCUGGAACACCGGUGGCGAAGGCGGCUCACUGGGUCUCUUCUGACGCUGAGGUACGAAAGCUAGGGUAGCGAACGGG